UACGUAGGUGGCAAGCGUUGUCCGGAAUUACUGGGUGUAAAGCGCGUGUAGGCGGCAGACCAAGUCGGCGGUGAAAGCGCCCGGCUCAACUGGGCGAGGUCCGUGGAAACUGGUCAGCUGGAGGACGGUAGAGGCGAGUGGAAUUCCCGGUGUAGUGGUGAAAUGCGUAGAGAUCGGGAGGAACACCUGUGGCGAAGGCGGCUCGCUGGGCCGGUCCUGACGCUGAGACGCGAAGGCGUGGGGAGCAAACAGG
RNAcentral lists this ribosomal RNA (253 nucleotides) under uncultured bacterium. Its description in RNAcentral is "partial 16S ribosomal RNA". It matches the Rfam family "Bacterial small subunit ribosomal RNA", at positions 524 to 776 of the family's 1533-position model. The record is from RNAcentral.